CAGCAGCAGCAGCAGUCCUCCU
Molecule: microRNA, 22 nt
Filed under: Shrimp white spot syndrome virus
Lineage: Naldaviricetes; Nimaviridae
Description: wssv-mir154_5p
Source: RNAcentral